This 863-nucleotide ribosomal RNA is filed under the name uncultured bacterium. RNAcentral describes it as "bacterial SSU rRNA". It matches the Rfam family "Bacterial small subunit ribosomal RNA", at positions 1 to 856 of the family's 1533-position model. The record is from RNAcentral.
GGCUUAGAGUUUGAUCAUGGCUCAGGAUGAACGCUAGCGACAGGCCUAACACAUGCAAGUCGAGGGGCAGCGGAGAGGUAGCAAUACCUUUGCCGGCGACCGGCGCACGGGUGAGUAACACGUAUGCAAUCCACCUGUAACAGGGGGAUAACCCGGAGAAAUCCGGACUAAUACCCCAUAAUAUGGGCUCUCCGCAUGGAGGGUCCAUUAAAGAGAGCAAUUUUGGUUACAGACGAGCAUGCGCUCCAUUAGCCAGUUGGCGGGGUAACGGCCCACCAAAGCGACGAUGGAUAGGGGUUCUGAGAGGAAGGUCCCCCACAUUGGAACUGAGACACGGUCCAAACUCCUACGGGAGGCAGCAGUGAGGAAUAUUGGUCAAUGGUCGGCAGACUGAACCAGCCAAGUCGCGUGAGGGAAGACGGCCCUACGGGUUGUAAACCUCUUUUGUCGGAGAGUAAAGUACGCUACGUGUAGCGUAUUGCAAGUAUCCGAAGAAAAAGCAUCGGCUAACUCCGUGCCAGCAGCCGCGGUAAUACGGAGGAUGCGAGCGUUAUCCGGAUUUAUUGGGUUUAAAGGGUGCGUAGGCGGCACGCCAAGUCAGCGGUGAAAUUUUCGGGCUCAACCCGGACUGUGCCCGUUGAAACUGGCGAGCUAGAGUGCACAAGAGGCAGGCGGAAUGCGUGGUGUAGCGGUGAAAUGCAUAGAUAUCACGCAGAACCCCGAUUGCGAAGCAGCCUGCUAGGGUGCGACAGACGCUGAGGCACGAAAGCGUGGGUAUCGAACAGGAUUAGAUACCCUGGUAGUUCACGCAGUAAACGAUGAAUACUAACUGUUGCGAUACAAUGUAAGCCGGUACAGCGAAA